RNAcentral lists this ribosomal RNA (498 nucleotides) under uncultured bacterium. RNAcentral describes it as "partial 16S ribosomal RNA". It matches the Rfam family "Bacterial small subunit ribosomal RNA", at positions 28 to 507 of the family's 1533-position model. The record is from RNAcentral.
GACGAACGCUGGCGGCGUGCCUAAUACAUGCAAGUCGAGCGGACGAAUCGAAAGCUUGCUUUUGAUUCGUUAGCGGCGGACGGGUGAGUAACACGUGGGCAACCUGCCCUGUAGACGGGGAUAACACCGAGAAAUCGGUGCUAAUACCGGAUAACACGAAAUGUCGCAUGACGUUUCGUUGAAAGACGGCGCAAGCUGCCGCUACAGGAUGGGCCCGCGGCGCAUUAGCUAGUUGGUGAGGUAACGGCUCACCAAGGCGACGAUACGUAGCCGACCUGAGAGGGUGAUCGGCCACACUGGGACUGAGACACGGCCCAGACUCCUACGGGAGGCAGCAGUAGGGAAUCUUCCGCAAUGGACGAAAGUCUGACGGAGCAACGCCGCGUGAGCGAAGAAGGCCUUCGGGUCGUAAAGCUCUGUUGUUAGGGAAGAACAAGUAACGCAGUAACUGGCGUUACCGAGACGGUACCUAACGAGAAAGCCACGGCUAACUACGUG